This 301-nucleotide ribosomal RNA is filed under the name uncultured bacterium. RNAcentral describes it as "partial 16S ribosomal RNA". It matches the Rfam family "Bacterial small subunit ribosomal RNA", at positions 509 to 807 of the family's 1533-position model. The record is from RNAcentral.
CAGCCGCCGCGGUAAUACAGAGGGUGCGAGCGUUAAUCGGAUUUACUGGGCGUAAAGCGUGCGUAGGCGGCUUCUUAAGUCGGAUGUGAAAUCCCUGAGCUUAACUUAGGAAUUGCAUUCGAUACUGGGAAGCUAGAGUAUGGGAGAGGAUGGUAGAAUUCCAGGUGUAGCGGUGAAAUGCGUAGAGAUCUGGAGGAAUAACGAUGGCGAAGGCAGCCAUCUGGCCUAAUACUGACGCUGAGGUACGAAAGCAUGGGGAGCAAACAGGAUUAGAUACCCCAGUAGUCCCUGUCUCUUAUAC